This is a long non-coding RNA of Paramisgurnus dabryanus, 1293 nucleotides long. RefSeq lists it as uncharacterized. NCBI's taxonomy places the organism in Eukaryota, Metazoa, Chordata, Actinopteri, Cypriniformes, Cobitidae. The record is from RefSeq and is a predicted model, not a curated record.
UCAGCUGGAAGAGGAAAUGUGGGAACAGACUGUCCCUGCUGCUGAUAAGACCAUACGGAACUUCCCACCUUUCACACACGGGAUCGGUCCUUUCCAUGGAACGUACUGCCAGGGGUCAUUGCAAAAGCAAGAACAUCCGUCCUGUCUGCCCACAACCUGUUUGAGAAAUCUGACCUUGUCAGAUGUUAUUUACUUUGUUUGUACUGUAGAAAAGAGGAACAAAGCUUCCUGUGGGAAAGACUAUUUGGUGUGAAUUAUAACCAUUGUAAGGACUAAGAACACAAAAUCUUGAAUAGAGCUGUUAUUGUAUGGAAUACUGGAUGAUACAGUUUUUAUCCCUGUUUGAUCUGUGCCCAUCUUGUUAAAAAUUGUAAAUCAAGACCUUCCUUUUGGCAAAUUGAUAAUAUCUUUAAUCUCAGAUAUUUAAAUAUUAUGAGAACCGAAGUCAAUAGACAAAAUAGUACAGUUGAUGCAAAUGAUUUAAGGAAUAGUUCACCCAAAAUGAAAAUGCUGCCAAUUUAUUUACCUUCAUGUUGUUCCAGGCCUGCAUGACCUUUCUUGUUUGGAACACUGAUAGGAACAUUCAAGACUUGAGGGUAAGUCAUGUGCCGCUCAAGAAUCCAUGCUCAUCCUAAUCCCAUUCCCGAUGGCUUUCCUCUAAGCAAGACUUCCAGUCUGUUCCCAUGAGGAUCUUCUUUGAGAAUUGGCAGGUCUACUAAAUAGUAAAAAAACAGCAGACAGGCACUAUACUUGGCCAUUGUGCUAAUCCUGUGUGAAGGGUUUCAGGCCCUGGCGUGCUCAUGUGACAGACUGGGCUGUGAAGGAUUUGCCAACAUGCCCAGCAAUAUCCGGUGCUCAAGUUCCAGUGACCCCAACACCCUCCAAACGUCAGGCGCCAUCCACCAGCACCAUACUCACAAGCUGCAUUCUUUGUGUUUUUAUCUUAUCAAGACUAAACAUCCUGGAGGUUAUACACAGGGCAGAAUGGAGCUCCAGUGUUGUGAGCAAACAUCAUAGUGGGUACAGUGGAUGUGCUGUUAUCACACUUAACUGCUACGGGCUCCACUCCAAAACCACCCACAUGGAGAAUAAGAACUUCCGCCAACGUGGGGAGAAAGCUCAACCCUGGCAAAGUGAUCUCUUUACCUUCUGCUAUCUGCAUCUCUCACCCACAUUUAAUGAGAAGAGACUUCCGAGAUCUGAAUCAUCAGCUACAGUAAUGUUAAUAGUACAAUUUUGUAGAAACCAAUGUGUGAAUAAAAAAUAGAUGGAGAUUGGAAAUCCAGUGUUCCC